GAUGAACGCUGGCGGCGUGCCUAAUACAUGCAAGUAGAACGCUGAAGGAAGGAGUUUGCUCUUUCCGGAUGAGUCGCGAACGGGUGAGUCACGCGUAGGUCACGUGCCUGGUAGCGGGGGAACACUAUGGGACACGAUAGAUAAUACCGCAUAACAGUAGAUGUUGCAUGAUAUCUACUUAAAAGGCACAAUUGCACCAAUAACAGAUGGAUGUGCGUUGUAUUAGCUAGUUGGUGAGGUAACGGCUCACCAAGGCGACGAUACAUAGCCGACCUGAGAGGGUGAUCGGCCACACUGGGACUGAGACACGGCCCAGACUCCUACGGGAGGCAGCAGUAGGGAAUCUUCGGCAAUGGACGGAAGUCUGACCGAGCAACGCCGCGUGAGUGAAGAAGGUUUUCGGAUCGUAAAGCUCUGUUGUAAGAGAAGAACGAGUGUGAGAGUGGAAAGUUCACACUGUGACGGUAUCUUACCAGAAAGGGACGGCUAACUACGUG
Molecule: ribosomal RNA, 497 nt
Filed under: uncultured bacterium
Lineage: Bacteria
Description: partial 16S ribosomal RNA
Rfam family: Bacterial small subunit ribosomal RNA
Source: RNAcentral